GACGAGUGGCGGACGGGUGAGUAAUGUCUGGGAAACUGCCUGAUGGAGGGGGAUAACUACUGGAAACGGUGGCUAAUACCGCAUAACGUCGCAAGACCAAAGAGGGGGACCUUCGGGCCUCUUGCCAUCAGAUGUGCCCAGAUGGGAUUAGCUUGUUGGUGAGGUAACGGCUCACCAAGGCGACGAUCCCUAGCUGGUCUGAGAGGAUGACCAGCCACACUGGAACUGAGACACGGUCCAGACUCCUACGGGAGGCAGCAGUGGGGAAUAUUGCACAAUGGGCGCAAGCCUGAUGCAGCCAUGCCGCGUGUAUGAAGAAGGCCUUCGGGUUGUAAAGUACUUUCAGCGGGGAGGAAGGUGUUGUGGUUAAUAACCGCAGCAAUUGACGUUACCCGCAGAAGAAGCACCGGCUAACUCCGUGCCAGCAGCCGCGGUAAUACGGAGGGUGCAAGCGUUAAUCGGAAUUACUGGGCGUAAAGCGCACGCAGGCGGUCUGUCAAGUCGGAUGUGAAAUCCCCGGGCUCAACCUG
Molecule: ribosomal RNA, 530 nt
Filed under: Salmonella enterica
Lineage: Bacteria; Pseudomonadati; Pseudomonadota; Gammaproteobacteria; Enterobacterales; Enterobacteriaceae
Description: bacterial SSU rRNA
Rfam family: Bacterial small subunit ribosomal RNA
Source: RNAcentral